GCUUGAGGCCAUUCAUUCCAUUCCAUGAUUUUGGCGGCGGUUGUGAGCUGUCCAACGGUCGGUGGUUGUUUCGUAAUGACCUUGCGUAGUUUGCAUUGACCAUGACCUUGCGGCUUUUUUCUGAUGGUAGAAGCUCGUGUAGAGCAUAGCGAUUGCCAUUCCUCUAUUUUGAGCUCUAUCCUUUCAUUUGAAUUUUUAAAUAGCAGUCAGUUGGGCUUGCCAACUUUAGUUCCAAAUGGGUCUAAUUUGGAUCAGUUUUUACAAUCCUAAAAGAAAGUUCCAAAUGGGUACUUUUCUCUCUCUUUUUUUUUUUUUACUUUUUUUAAACUUCAGACCUGUUAGGAUUUGGAUUAUCGGGCGUGACCCGCUUCGAUAACCUAUUAUGGGUCCCUCAGGUACAUCACGUGCUACUUUUUUUACUUUUCUUUUUCUUUUUUUUCUUUUUUUUAAAAAAGGAUUUGGGUUAGUGGGUGAUCCUCUCUAGGAACCCGCUACUGACGCGGCUUCUUCGUGGAGGCUUGUGGCAGGGAAGGUUACCAGCUUCCGCGGAACGCGAUGACGGCUGGGCGAGGAGCCGCGGGUGGCGGUUGCUUAGUAGGAGAUGCUUUGCGGUGACGACGUGCGGGGCUUCUUCUUCCCCUAAUCCGGCGCACGGCGGCGGCAUGCGAACGGGCUCGGGGAGGGACACGGUGGAGCUCCUCGGCAAUGGGAGAUUCCUUUUCUCCCGGAUUUGGUGUGCGGCGGUC
RNAcentral lists this long non-coding RNA (746 nucleotides) under Phoenix dactylifera (date palm). Its description in RNAcentral is "long non-coding RNA (PDAC_LNC018529)". Lineage: Eukaryota; Viridiplantae; Streptophyta; Magnoliopsida; Arecales; Arecaceae. The record is from RNAcentral.